RNAcentral lists this ribosomal RNA (480 nucleotides) under uncultured bacterium. RNAcentral describes it as "bacterial SSU rRNA". It matches the Rfam family "Bacterial small subunit ribosomal RNA", at positions 28 to 509 of the family's 1533-position model. The record is from RNAcentral.
GAUGAACGCUAGCGGCAGGCUUAACACAUGCAAGUCGAGGGGUAUUGGUUUUCGGACCAAGAGACCGGCGCACGGGUGCGUAACGCGUAUGCAAUCUACCUUUUGCAGAGGGAUAGCCCCAGAGAAAUUUGGAUUAAUACCUCAUAGUAUAGUACUUUGGCAUCAAGGAACUAUUAAAGUCACAACGGCAAAAGAUGAGCAUGCGUCCCAUUAGCUAGUUGGUAAGGUAACGGCUUACCAAGGCUACGAUGGGUAGGGGUCCUGAGAGGGAGAUCCCCCCANACUGGUACUGAGACACGGACCAGACUCCUACGGGAGGCAGCAGUGAGGAAUAUUGGACAAUGGGCGCAAGCCUGAUCCAGCCAUGCCGCGUGCAGGAUGACGGUCCUAUGGAUUGUAAACUGCUUUUANACAGGAANAACACUCCGACGUGUCGGAGCUUGACGGUACUGUAAGAUAAGGAUCGGCUAACUCCGUGCC